RNAcentral lists this ribosomal RNA (451 nucleotides) under uncultured bacterium. Its description in RNAcentral is "bacterial SSU rRNA". It matches the Rfam family "Bacterial small subunit ribosomal RNA", at positions 1052 to 1504 of the family's 1533-position model. The record is from RNAcentral.
UCGUCAGCUCGUGUCGUGAGAUGUUGGGUUAAGUCCCGCAACGAGCGCAACCCUUGCCUUUAGUUGCCAUCAUUAAGUUGGGCACUCUAGAGGGACUGCCAGGGAUAACCUGGAGGAAGGUGGGGAUGACGUCAAAUCAUCAUGCCCCUUAUGCUUAGGGCUACACACGUGCUACAAUGGGUGGUACAGAGGGCAGCCAAGUCGUGAGGCGGAGCUAAUCCCUUAAAGCCAUUCUCAGUUCGGAUUGUAGGCUGAAACUCGCCUACAUGAAGCUGGAGUUACUAGUAAUCGCAGAUCAGAAUGCUGCGGUGAAUGCGUUCCCGGGUCUUGUACACACCGCCCGUCACACCAUGGGAGUUGGGGGCGCCCGAAGCCGGUUAGCUAACCUUUUGGAAGCGGCCAUCGAAGGUGAAACCAAUAACUGGGGUGAAGUCGUAACAAGGUAGCCGUA